UGCCAGCAGCCGCGGUAAUACGGAGGAUGCAGGCGUUAUCCGGAUUCAUUGGGUUUAAAGGGUGCGUAGGCGGGAUGCUAAGUCAGUGGUGAAAGCCCACAGCUCAACUGUGGAACUGCCAUUGAUACUGGUAACCUAGAGUAUGAUUGAAGUGAGCGGAAUAUGGCAUGUAGCGGUGAAAUGCAUAGAUAUGCCAUAGAACACCAAUUGCGAAGGCAGCUCACUGGCCCUGCAUUGACGCUGAGGCACGAAAGCGUGGGGAGCGAACAGGAUUAGAUA
Molecule: ribosomal RNA, 279 nt
Filed under: uncultured bacterium
Lineage: Bacteria
Description: partial 16S ribosomal RNA
Rfam family: Bacterial small subunit ribosomal RNA
Source: RNAcentral